ACGCCUCCCCCACGAAUUGGAUUUCAUUUGUCGGCACUGACACUCAAGCCUGGGGGUCUCUAACAUCAUCAUUCCUCGCGCGUCAGUGGGCAAUAAAGAAGCACCAUGAAUGGUCUGGCCUCUUGCAAGCUGUACUUCGAUGGCUACUGCGUGCGGAGGAUCCUCAUCAACCAAAAACUCAUACUGAAUAUUGAUAUUUGUACGAUCUACAUUAGAGCAUGAGUCUUUGGUGCUCGCAGGAGGUGCGGUAGGAUCAUCUGUAGGGGCGUCCUCCUGCUGUGACUGUUGCUCUUGUUGUUGUAGUCUGAUCAUCGCAAGUUCUUGUUCAAGCGUUCUUAAGCGUUCUUCCAUUUGCUCUCGUACUUGGACUUGCACUUGUUUCGUGAUGCUACUAACCAAUUUCGGAGUCACGGCUUGUGUGCUUCUUGGUUUAGGGCCAAAGUAAUCCCUCAAUUUAGU
This 459-nucleotide long non-coding RNA is filed under the name Vigna radiata. RNAcentral describes it as "long non-coding RNA (VRAD_LNC001497)". The record is from RNAcentral. Lineage: Eukaryota; Viridiplantae; Streptophyta; Magnoliopsida; Fabales; Fabaceae.